UUAUCGCGAAAGAAACCUACCAGGGCUUGACAUGGGGAGGCUGCAGUCAGAGAUGGCUGUUUCUCGCAAGGGACCUCCUGCACAGGUGCUGCAUGGCUGUCGUCAGCUCGUGUCGUGAGAUGUUGGGUUAAGUCCCGCAACGAGCGCAACCCUCGCCUUUAGUUGCCAGCAUGAUUGGGUGGGCACUCUAAAGGAACUGCCGGUGACAAGCCGGAGGAAGGUGGGGAUGACGUCAAGUCCUCAUGGCCCUUAUGUCCUGGGCUACACACGUGCUACAAUGGCGGUGACAGUGGGAAGCCAGGCAGCGAUGCCGAGCUGAUCUCAAAAAGCCGUCUCAGUUCGGAUUGCACUCUGCAACUCGAGUGCAUGAAGGUGGAAUCGCUAGUAAUCGCGGAUCAGCAUGUACGCGGGAAACGACGU
Molecule: ribosomal RNA, 420 nt
Filed under: Gluconacetobacter diazotrophicus
Lineage: Bacteria; Pseudomonadati; Pseudomonadota; Alphaproteobacteria; Acetobacterales; Acetobacteraceae
Description: bacterial SSU rRNA
Rfam family: Bacterial small subunit ribosomal RNA
Source: RNAcentral